CCUGAGCCUAGCCCUGACCCUGUGACCUUUGAUCCUUCCUGCCAGGUCAUUCUCAUGCCACCCUGACCUGCCAUGAAACCAGAGAGCACCACGGGAGAGAGGAAGCAAGCCAGCAUCAAACGAGACAGCCAGGCACCCAGCCAGCCAGACAGCUGUGAGAGGCGACAGUUGUCAGGCCAGCACCAGAAAAACCCCCUUUUGCAUAAUUGAACUGUAACCGUCUGUCCUGUCAUCAGCAACAUCAACAUCCAGGUCAGCAAGUUACAACCAGGACUUCACAGUACAGUUGUGUCAACUAGCCAUCUAAUCACAAAUUGGUGCAUUGACUUUUCUAUCGUCCAAAACAUUAAAAAAACAUUUUCUUAAAAAUAUCCUGUAUGGAUACUAUCUAAUCAAUCCGUGGCUCCUCCAGUCUGCAUGUCGAAGUGUCCUUGGGCAAGAUACUGAA
Long non-coding RNA from Larimichthys crocea (large yellow croaker), 448 nucleotides. RefSeq lists it as uncharacterized. The record is from RefSeq and is a predicted model, not a curated record. NCBI's taxonomy places the organism in Eukaryota, Metazoa, Chordata, Actinopteri, Sciaenidae. The transcript has 3 exons.